This 773-nucleotide ribosomal RNA is filed under the name uncultured Neocallimastigales. Its description in RNAcentral is "partial large subunit ribosomal RNA". It matches the Rfam family "Eukaryotic large subunit ribosomal RNA", at positions 23 to 645 of the family's 3401-position model. The record is from RNAcentral. Lineage: Eukaryota; Fungi; Neocallimastigomycota; Neocallimastigomycetes; Neocallimastigales.
AGAGAGAGACAUGCGCGCAUAUCAAUAAGCGGAGGAAAAGAAACUAACUAGGAUUCCCUCAGUAACGGCGAGUGAAGCGGGAAGAGCUCAAAUUUGAAAUCUUCAAGGUUCUACCUUGACGAAUUGUAGUUUAAAGAAGUGUUUUCUGUUGGAGUUUUGGUAAAAGUUCUUUGGAAUAGGACAUCAUAGAGGGUGAGAAUCCCGUAUUUGACCAUUAUUUCAGCUUUGUGAUACACUUUCAAAGAGUCGGAUUGUUUGGGAAUGCAGUCCAAAAUGGGUGGUAAAUUUCAUCUAAAGCUAAAUACUUGGCGAGAGACCGAUAGCGAACAAGUACCGUGAGGGAAAGAUGAAAAGAACUUUGAAAAGAGAGUUAAACAGUACGUGAAAUUGUCAAAAGGGAAGCGUUUGACACCAGUGUUGUUUUCUCGAAAAUCAACUAAAAAAGGCAGGAUUUUGUGUUGUAUUGACUUUAUCAGCUUUCUGCACUCUUUUCCUGUCUUUUUUAAUGCACUUUUCGUUUAACAAGUCAACAUCAAUUUCUUUUGUUGUAAAAGGGUCAUUGGAAGGUGGCUUUCUUUUCGGAGAAAGUGUUUAUAGCCUUUGGCCUCUGCAAUCGGAGAGAUUGAGGUCUGCAGCGUAGAUCCUUCGGGGUUAGAUACAUUUGUGCUAAGUUAUAGCCUUUCAUAGACAACUUGUUGACUAUGAUCAGUCAUGUAGCUUACUCGCUUAUGCUAUUUUACCUACGCUUAGGAUGUUGAUGUGAUACUGCGAGC